This 2354-nucleotide ribosomal RNA is filed under the name Escherichia coli. Its description in RNAcentral is "bacterial LSU rRNA". It matches the Rfam family "Bacterial large subunit ribosomal RNA", at positions 591 to 2925 of the family's 2925-position model. Lineage: Bacteria; Pseudomonadati; Pseudomonadota; Gammaproteobacteria; Enterobacterales; Enterobacteriaceae. The record is from RNAcentral.
GUGUGACUGCGUACCUUUUGUAUAAUGGGUCAGCGACUUAUAUUCUGUAGCAAGGUUAACCGAAUAGGGGAGCCGAAGGGAAACCGAGUCUUAACUGGGCGUUAAGUUGCAGGGUAUAGACCCGAAACCCGGUGAUCUAGCCAUGGGCAGGUUGAAGGUUGGGUAACACUAACUGGAGGACCGAACCGACUAAUGUUGAAAAAUUAGCGGAUGACUUGUGGCUGGGGGUGAAAGGCCAAUCAAACCGGGAGAUAGCUGGUUCUCCCCGAAAGCUAUUUAGGUAGCGCCUCGUGAAUUCAUCUCCGGGGGUAGAGCACUGUUUCGGCAAGGGGGUCAUCCCGACUUACCAACCCGAUGCAAACUGCGAAUACCGGAGAAUGUUAUCACGGGAGACACACGGCGGGUGCUAACGUCCGUCGUGAAGAGGGAAACAACCCAGACCGCCAGCUAAGGUCCCAAAGUCAUGGUUAAGUGGGAAACGAUGUGGGAAGGCCCAGACAGCCAGGAUGUUGGCUUAGAAGCAGCCAUCAUUUAAAGAAAGCGUAAUAGCUCACUGGUCGAGUCGGCCUGCGCGGAAGAUGUAACGGGGCUAAACCAUGCACCGAAGCUGCGGCAGCGACGCUUAUGCGUUGUUGGGUAGGGGAGCGUUCUGUAAGCCUGCGAAGGUGUGCUGUGAGGCAUGCUGGAGGUAUCAGAAGUGCGAAUGCUGACAUAAGUAACGAUAAAGCGGGUGAAAAGCCCGCUCGCCGGAAGACCAAGGGUUCCUGUCCAACGUUAAUCGGGGCAGGGUGAGUCGACCCCUAAGGCGAGGCCGAAAGGCGUAGUCGAUGGGAAACAGGUUAAUAUUCCUGUACUUGGUGUUACUGCGAAGGGGGGACGGAGAAGGCUAUGUUGGCCGGGCGACGGUUGUCCCGGUUUAAGCGUGUAGGCUGGUUUUCCAGGCAAAUCCGGAAAAUCAAGGCUGAGGCGUGAUGACGAGGCACUACGGUGCUGAAGCAACAAAUGCCCUGCUUCCAGGAAAAGCCUCUAAGCAUCAGGUAACAUCAAAUCGUACCCCAAACCGACACAGGUGGUCAGGUAGAGAAUACCAAGGCGCUUGAGAGAACUCGGGUGAAGGAACUAGGCAAAAUGGUGCCGUAACUUCGGGAGAAGGCACGCUGAUAUGUAGGUGAAGUCCCUCGCGGAUGGAGCUGAAAUCAGUCGAAGAUACCAGCUGGCUGCAACUGUUUAUUAAAAACACAGCACUGUGCAAACACGAAAGUGGACGUAUACGGUGUGACGCCUGCCCGGUGCCGGAAGGUUAAUUGAUGGGGUUAGCGCAAGCGAAGCUCUUGAUCGAAGCCCCGGUAAACGGCGGCCGUAACUAUAACGGUCCUAAGGUAGCGAAAUUCCUUGUCGGGUAAGUUCCGACCUGCACGAAUGGCGUAAUGAUGGCCAGGCUGUCUCCACCCGAGACUCAGUGAAAUUGAACUCGCUGUGAAGAUGCAGUGUACCCGCGGCAAGACGGAAAGACCCCGUGAACCUUUACUAUAGCUUGACACUGAACAUUGAGCCUUGAUGUGUAGGAUAGGUGGGAGGCUUUGAAGUGUGGACGCCAGUCUGCAUGGAGCCGACCUUGAAAUACCACCCUUUAAUGUUUGAUGUUCUAACGUUGACCCGUAAUCCGGGUUGCGGACAGUGUCUGGUGGGUAGUUUGACUGGGGCGGUCUCCUCCUAAAGAGUAACGGAGGAGCACGAAGGUUGGCUAAUCCUGGUCGGACAUCAGGAGGUUAGUGCAAUGGCAUAAGCCAGCUUGACUGCGAGCGUGACGGCGCGAGCAGGUGCGAAAGCAGGUCAUAGUGAUCCGGUGGUUCUGAAUGGAAGGGCCAUCGCUCAACGGAUAAAAGGUACUCCGGGGAUAACAGGCUGAUACCGCCCAAGAGUUCAUAUCGACGGCGGUGUUUGGCACCUCGAUGUCGGCUCAUCACAUCCUGGGGCUGAAGUAGGUCCCAAGGGUAUGGCUGUUCGCCAUUUAAAGUGGUACGCGAGCUGGGUUUAGAACGUCGUGAGACAGUUCGGUCCCUAUCUGCCGUGGGCGCUGGAGAAUUGAGGGGGGCUGCUCCUAGUACGAGAGGACCGGAGUGGACGCAUCACUGGUGUUCGGGUUGUCAUGCCAAUGGCACUGCCCGGUAGCUAAAUGCGGAAGAGAUAAGUGCUGAAAGCAUCUAAGCACGAAACUUGCCCCGAGAUGAGUUCUCCCUGACUCCUUGAGAGUCCUGAAGGAACGUUGAAGACGACGACGUUGAUAGGCCGGGUGUGUAAGCGCAGCGAUGCGUUGAGCUAACCGGUACUAAUGAACCGUGAGGCUUAACCUU